This is a long non-coding RNA of Bombyx mori (domestic silkworm), 396 nucleotides long. RefSeq lists it as uncharacterized. Lineage: Eukaryota; Metazoa; Arthropoda; Insecta; Lepidoptera; Bombycidae. The record is from RefSeq and is a predicted model, not a curated record. The transcript has 2 exons.
AUAAGUUCUGAAGCGUAUUGUGCGAACCAAUACGGACGGGUACCAACAUUCUGCUUAACUCAACUGCGACACUCAUUCGUGGAGAAGUCUUUUUAUAAUUGAGAUUUCGACUAUGUCUAAAUCGGUACUUAGUUAACAAUAGGCGUACCAUUCUGAAGAAGCCAAAUCAAACUGCAAGACGCUGCAAAACUGCUUGCUGAGACAACUUUAGCUAGAAUAACAUAUUUCGACAAUUUCGACUUUUCUCGAAGUUUCUAAGCAGGAUUACUUUUAUGUUAUUCUUAAAGUAAUUAUAACAAUUGUAUCGAAAAACCAUAUUCUGCAACACAUAAUAUGUACAUAUGUAAUAAUGAUGUUUUUUGAAUUCCCUCAAAUACACGUAUGCAAUAAGGCUUU